CCUCCGAGCAGCAGCCGUAGCUCCGGUCCGAGCUGCUGCCGUCGCUCUCGCUGCGGUCCUCGUCCUCAUCGUCCGACAACACGUUUACAUCAGCGUGGGCUCACCUCUACCUGAUGCUCCCCACCGUGUCUCUCAUAGACGCUGCCAGAGGAGCUGCAGGGCUCCAACAGCUCCCGUUCCACCCUCUUCCUUCUCUGCGUCACCUGGGAUCACAUCCCAACCCCUCACGUUAACCCCUCAGUGGGUUACACUGGAGCUCUUGUCAGUGUCUCAAUGUCUAGGGGU
Molecule: long non-coding RNA, 285 nt
Organism: Gadus macrocephalus (Pacific cod)
Lineage: Eukaryota; Metazoa; Chordata; Actinopteri; Gadiformes; Gadidae
Exons: 3
Source: RefSeq, a predicted model, not a curated record